GUGAGUGUGUUGGAAUUGGUAGACAAGCCAGACUUAGGAUCUGGUGCUUAGGCGUAUGGGUUCGAGUCCCUUCACUCGCA
This 80-nucleotide transfer RNA is filed under the name Bacteroidales bacterium. RNAcentral describes it as "tRNA-Leu". It matches the Rfam family "tRNA". From Rfam's summary of the family: Transfer RNA (tRNA) molecules are approximately 80 nucleotides in length. The record is from RNAcentral. Lineage: Bacteria; Pseudomonadati; Bacteroidota; Bacteroidia; Bacteroidales.